GAGGUUCCGGUUCACGCCUUACCGGCGACCCGGCGACC
Regulatory RNA element from Mycobacterium sp., 38 nucleotides. It matches the Rfam family "L31-Actinobacteria ribosomal protein leader". The record is from Rfam. Lineage: Bacteria; Bacillati; Actinomycetota; Actinomycetes; Mycobacteriales; Mycobacteriaceae.